UUGCUGGACCCAGCGCUGGCUGGACACGCUGAAUGUAAAUCUGGCUGCAAACAACAUCUCUCUCUUUCUCUGUAUGGCUGUGAAUCCAGCGAGGUGAGCUUGGCUCAGGAGGAGCACUGUCUGGGUUUGCGCGCAGUUUGCAGACACAUUUGCGAGGAAGCCGUGCUGGAAUAUAUUCAGGGGUGAAGAACCGAAGGAGAAAGGGCGAAACCCUCCUACAGCCUGCGCUUUCUUCUGACUCUCUCUCUCUCUCUCUAUCUCUAUCUCUGGACGCAAAGAUUUGGGCAAAAUGGUUUUCCCGAAAUCUCAGUGACUGCGAUGUCAGCACCUCUCUCUCACCUACCGCUCGUGGAGCACAGACUGAAGAAAUAAUAAUAAAAUAAAAAAAAACACACGUUAGUCGGGUCAGGUGGUUUUCUCAAGAGGGAGAGAGAGGAAGAGAAAGAGAGCAGCCGUUCAUUUACGGCGCACUGGAUUCAAGUAACACUCCCCCCUGGCAGCUGAAGAUGAUGUUACUAUGGAAACAGUUUUUGCUGCUAUCAAUCAUGGAAUAUCUUGCAGAGUGUGUGGAUUAUAAGUCUUUCAAUGGGCCGAAAUGGCGAAUGGAGCCCAGCGAUCUGACAGUGGGCUCACUGGAGGAAGAGGCUACAUUGACCUGCGACGCAAAGGGCAGUCCUCCCCCUCAGUACAGGUA
Carassius carassius (crucian carp) is the source of this 694-nucleotide long non-coding RNA. RefSeq lists it as uncharacterized. Lineage: Eukaryota; Metazoa; Chordata; Actinopteri; Cypriniformes; Cyprinidae. The record is from RefSeq and is a predicted model, not a curated record. The transcript has 3 exons.